RNAcentral lists this ribosomal RNA (852 nucleotides) under uncultured bacterium. RNAcentral describes it as "bacterial SSU rRNA". It matches the Rfam family "Bacterial small subunit ribosomal RNA", at positions 43 to 896 of the family's 1533-position model. The record is from RNAcentral.
GUUGCUUGACACAUGCAAGUCGAGGGGCAGCACGCCUUCGGGUGGUGGCGACCGGCGCACGGGUGAGUAACACGUAUGCAACCUGCCUUUUACACUGGGAUAACCCGGCGAAAGUCGGACUAAUACCGGAUGAAACAGGGAUACCGCAUGGUAAUAUUUGUUAAAGAUUAAUUGGUAAAGGAUGGGCAUGCGUUGGAUUAGAUAGUUGGCAGGGUAACGGCCUACCAAGUCUGCGAUCCAUAGGGGCACUGAGAGGUUUACCCCCCACACUGGUACUGAGACACGGACCAGACUCCUACGGGAGGCAGCAGUGAGGAAUAUUGGUCAAUGGUCGAGAGACUGAACCAGCCAAAUCGCGUGAAGGAAGACGGUAUUAUGUAUUGUAAACUUCUUUUGGGAGGGAAUAAAGUGCGGGAUGUAUCCCGCUUUGUAUGUACCUUUCGAAUAAGCAUCGGCUAACUCCGUGCCAGCAGCCGCGGUAAUACGGAGGAUGCGAGCGUUAUCCGGAUUUAUUGGGUUUAAAGGGUGCGUAGGUGGGACGAUAAGUCAGCGGUGAAAAUUUUCUACUUAACAGGGACACUGCCGUUGAUACUGUUGUUCUUGAGUAUAGACGAGGCAGGCGGAAUUCGUAGUGUAGCGGUGAAAUGCUUAGAUAUUACGAAGAACCCCGAUAGCGCAGGCAGCCUGCCAGGCUAUGACUGACACUGAGGCACGAAAGUGUGGGAAUCAAACAGGAUUAGAUACCCUGGUAGUCCACACAGUAAACGAUGAUUACUCGCUGUUUGCGAUAUACGGCAAGCGGCCAAGCGAAAGCGUUAAGUAAUCCACCUGGGGAUCACGCCGGCCACGGAC